GGAACGGGAGUGCGGUAGCGUGGGGCCAGCGUCACCCCACCUAGGAGCAGCACAAGGCAUCAGGAGGUGCUUCCAGAUCUACUGUGGACCUUUUGCACCAAGCAAGCUUGGGCUGUUUUUUCAUUUUCUUUUCCUCUCCUCUCAUUUUUUAGCCAUCGCGAUGUGGGAGUUUCCCAGUGCCUUUCAAAGAUUUGUACCAAAGAUCAAAAAACCCCUUGCUGUUAAUGAGAUCUGUGGAGGUGCUAAACUGUUACCUGGUGAACUGCUGUGAGAGCAACUGCAGCCUCAUCUGGUCUGCCUAGUAAAAUUAACACUUUCAAGCAGAUUGUACAGUCAAAUGCAUGUGUAUUUCCAAGCACUAUAUGCCAUGCUUCUGAAAUGAGAGCCUGUGUCUUGGAAAAGAUUGUCUAAAAGUUUCAGACAAACUUACAGAUAAGGUCCCAGCACAGGAUGUCUGAUAUGACUGUUGGAUGUACUAAUGGGAUUUGUAUACAGUAAAUCAAUUUACAUGUGUAUGAAUGAGUAAUACUAGAGGAACAUGUGUAGCUUUGACAUUAAAGGUGUUGUGUAAGAAAAUUCCCCCAGGAAUGGGAGGAGCUGAGCAUGAACCCUAGCACAGGGGCAGUCUCAUAGUAGGGCUUGAAUAGAG
Molecule: long non-coding RNA, 649 nt
Filed under: Gallus gallus (chicken)
Lineage: Eukaryota; Metazoa; Chordata; Aves; Galliformes; Phasianidae
Description: lncRNA (ENSGALG00010008755.1)
Source: RNAcentral